UCCUUUCAAUUAUCAAACUUUUAUAUAUAGAGAUGUAUGUAAAGAUGUUUGGAAUAAAAGUUGAGAAAAGUAGUAUUGUUUAUAAUAUUACUUUCUUAAAAACCAGAAAUAUUAUGUUUUGAUUUUUCUUCACCUCAUUUUGUAUGAAAUUUAACAAAUGAGGAUGAGUAAAAAUAACAAAUGCUUU
Molecule: unclassified non-coding RNA, 187 nt
Filed under: uncultured Pezizaceae
Lineage: Eukaryota; Fungi; Ascomycota; Pezizomycetes; Pezizales; Pezizaceae
Description: sequence contains ITS2
Source: RNAcentral